RNAcentral lists this unclassified non-coding RNA (262 nucleotides) under Xylariales sp. RNAcentral describes it as "partial contains 5.8S ribosomal RNA, internal transcribed spacer 2, and large subunit ribosomal RNA". Lineage: Eukaryota; Fungi; Ascomycota; Sordariomycetes; Xylariales. The record is from RNAcentral.
CGCACAUUGCGCCCACUAGUAUUCUAUUGGGCAUGCCUGUUCGAGCGUCAUUUCAACCCUCAAGCCCUGGCUGCUUGGUGUUGGGCACCUGCGGGUCUCGCCCGCAGGCCCCGAAAGACAGUGGCGGGCGCGCCGCGACCCCGAGCGUAGUAGUCUACACAUCUCGCUUAGGGCGUCCGGCGCCGUCUCCAGCCGUAAAGCCUCUCCCCGGAGAACUUACAAGGUUGACCUCGGAUCAGGUAGGAAUACCCGCUGAACUUAA